Pelobates cultripes (western spadefoot toad) is the source of this 281-nucleotide non-coding RNA. The record is from the annotation of a GenBank genome assembly. Lineage: Eukaryota; Metazoa; Chordata; Amphibia; Anura; Pelobatidae.
GGAGGUUCAGCUGGGCAGGGUGGCGGGGCCGUUCAGGGAGCCCCUGUUACCCAACUUGACAGUAUCACCACUUGGGGUGAUACCCAAGAAGGAGCCCGGCAAGUACCGCCUGAUUCACCAUCUGUCCUACCCCAAGGGGUCGUCAGUUAAUGACGACAUAGACAGGGCCCUUUCUUCAGUUUCGUACGCUUCGUUCGACCAGGCGGUGAACCUGGUGCAGCGAGCAGGCCGGGGGGCGCUGUUGGCGAAGGCGGACGUGGAGGCGGCUUUCCGCCUUUUGC